GACGAACGCUGGCGGCGUGCCUAAUACAUGCAAGUCGAACGCUGAAGAGAGGAGCUUGCUCUUCUUGGAUGAGUUGCGAACGGGUGAGUAACGCGUAGGUAACCUGCCUUGUAGCGGGGGAUAACUAUUGGAAACGAUAGCUAAUACCGCAUAACAAUGGAUGACACAUGUCAUUUGUUUGAAAGGGGCAAUUGCUCCACUACAAGAUGGACCUGCGUUGUAUUAGCUAGUAGGUGAGGUAAUGGCUCACCUAGGCGACGAUACAUAGCCGACCUGAGAGGGUGAUCGGCCACACUGGGACUGAGACACGGCCCAGACUCCUACGGGAGGCAGCAGUAGGGAAUCUUCGGCAAUGGGGGCAACCCUGACCGAGCAACGCCGCGUGAGUGAAGAAGGUUUUCGGAUCGUAAAGCUCUGUUGUAAGUCAAGAACGAGUGUGAGAGUGGAAAGUUCACACUGUGACGGUAGCUUACCAGAAAGGGACGGCUAACUACGUG
This 497-nucleotide ribosomal RNA is filed under the name uncultured bacterium. RNAcentral describes it as "partial 16S ribosomal RNA". It matches the Rfam family "Bacterial small subunit ribosomal RNA", at positions 28 to 507 of the family's 1533-position model. The record is from RNAcentral.